RNAcentral lists this unclassified non-coding RNA (200 nucleotides) under soil metagenome. Its description in RNAcentral is "partial contains internal transcribed spacer 2 and large subunit ribosomal RNA". The record is from RNAcentral.
AGCGUCAUUAUCAUCCCUCAAGCCCGGCUUGUCCUUGAACUCUUGUCGUUAUAGACGGGUUCGAAAGAUAAUGACGGUGUCGUGAUCAACCCUAGAUGCAACGAGCUUCACAGCGCGCAUGUUAGUGGCUGGCCGGCCCCGGUCUUAACCUUAUUUCAAUGGUUGACCUCGGAUCAGGUAGGAAUACCCGCUGAACUUAA